AACGAACGCUGGCGGCAGGCCUAACACAUGCAAGUCGAGCGCGCCCUUCGGGGUGAGCGGCGGACGGGUGAGUAACGCGUGGGAACGUGCCCUUUUCUACGGAAUAGCCUCGGGAAACUGAGAGUAAUACCGUAUACGCCCUUUGGGGGAAAGAUUUAUCGGAAAAGGAUCGGCCCGCGUUGGAUUAGGUAGUUGGUGGGGUAAUGGCCUACCAAGCCGACGAUCCAUAGCUGGUUUGAGAGGAUGAUCAGCCACACUGGGACUGAGACACGGCCCAGACUCCUACGGGAGGCAGCAGUGGGGAAUCUUAGACAAUGGGGGCAACCCUGAUCUAGCCAUGCCGCGUGAGUGAUGAAGGCCUUAGGGUUGUAAAGCUCUUUCAGCUGGGAAGAUAAUGACGGUACCAGCAGAAGAAGCCCCGGCCAACUCCGUU
RNAcentral lists this ribosomal RNA (433 nucleotides) under uncultured bacterium. RNAcentral describes it as "partial 16S ribosomal RNA". It matches the Rfam family "Bacterial small subunit ribosomal RNA", at positions 29 to 507 of the family's 1533-position model. The record is from RNAcentral.